CCUACGGGAGGCAGCAGUGGGGAAUAUUGCACAAUGGGCGGAACCCUGAUGCAGCGACGCCGCGUGCGGGAAGAAGGCCCUCGGCGCGUUAAGCCCUUUCAGCAGGGAAGUAAAUGCCGGUACCUGAGGAAGAAGCCCCGACUAACUACGUGCCAGCAGCCGCGGUACUACGUAGGGGGCAAGCGUUAUACGGAUUUACUGGGUGUAAAGGGGGCGCAGGCGGCGGUGACAGGCAGGAGGGAAAGCCCGGAGCCCAACCCCGGGACUGCUGUUGGAACUGGGUGGCGUGAGUGCAGGAGGGGCAGGCGGAAUUCGUGGUGUAGCGGUGAAAUGCGUAGAUAUCAGGAGGAACCCCGGUGGCGAAGGCGGCCUGCUGGACUGCAACUGACGUUGAGGCUCGAAAGCGUGGGGAGCAAACAGGAUUAGAUACCCUUGUAGUC
RNAcentral lists this ribosomal RNA (440 nucleotides) under uncultured bacterium. RNAcentral describes it as "partial 16S ribosomal RNA". It matches the Rfam family "Bacterial small subunit ribosomal RNA", at positions 338 to 795 of the family's 1533-position model. The record is from RNAcentral.